RNAcentral lists this non-coding RNA (22 nucleotides) under Rattus norvegicus (Norway rat). Lineage: Eukaryota; Metazoa; Chordata; Mammalia; Rodentia; Muridae. The record is from RNAcentral.
UCUAAUGUGCUUUAUCCUGACC